GGCCGCACUAGUGAUUUCUGUUUGAUCCUGGCAGAGGAUGAACGCUAGCUACAGGCUUAACACAUGCAAGUCGAGGGGCAUCAGGACGAUAGCUUGCUAUUGUUGCUGGCGACCGGCGCACGGGUGAGUAACGCGUAUCCAACCUUCCCCAUAGUAGAGGAUAGCCCGGCGAAAGUCGGAUUAAUACUCUAUGUUGUGUCACGAGGACAUCUGAAUAACACCAAAGAUUUAUCGCUAUGGGAUGGGGAUGCGUCUGAUUAGCUUGUUGGCGGGGUAACGGCCCACCAAGGCGACGAUCAGUAGGGGUUCUGAGAGGAAGGUCCCCCACAUUGGUACUGAGACACGGACCAAACUCCUACGGGAGGCAGCAGUGAGGAAUAUUGGUCAAUGGACGAGAGUCUGAACCAGCCAAGUAGCGUGCAGGAAGACUGCCCUAUGGGUUGUAAACUGCUUUUAUAGGGGGAAUAAAGUGAGGUAUGCAUACCUUUUUUGUAUGUACCCUAUGAAUAAGGACCGGCUAAUUCCGUGCCAGCAGCCGCGGUAAUAACGGAAAGGUCCGGGAGUUAUCCAGUAUUUAUUGGGGUUUACAGGGGAGCGCAGGUCGCACGCCUUAACUUGACUGUGUAUAUUGUCCCGUGCUCAUCCGGUGG
RNAcentral lists this ribosomal RNA (650 nucleotides) under uncultured bacterium. RNAcentral describes it as "partial 16S ribosomal RNA". It matches the Rfam family "Bacterial small subunit ribosomal RNA", at positions 1 to 652 of the family's 1533-position model. The record is from RNAcentral.